GUUAGGAAUAUUGGACAAUGGGCGCAAGCCUGAUCCAGCCAUGCCGCGUGAACGAUGAAGGCCUUCGGGUUGUAAAGUUCUUUAGCCGAUGAUUAUAAUGACUGUAGUCGGAAAAUAAGCCCCGGCUAACUUCGUGCCAGCAGCCGCGGUAAUACGAAGGGGGCGAGCGUUAUUCGGAAUCACUGGGCGUAAAGCGUGCGUAGGCGGUCUCGUAAGUUAGGAGUGAAAGCCCAGGGCUCAACCCUGGAAUUGCUCUCAAAACUGCAAGGCUCGAAUUCGGGAGAGGAUAGCGGAAUUGUCAGUGUAGCAGUGAAAUGCGUAGAUAUUGACAGGAACACCAGUGGCGUAAGCGGCUAUCUGGACCGAUAUUGACGCUGAGGCACGAAAGCGUGGGGAUCAAACAGGAUUAGAUACCCCGGUAGUCC
RNAcentral lists this ribosomal RNA (425 nucleotides) under uncultured bacterium. Its description in RNAcentral is "partial 16S ribosomal RNA". It matches the Rfam family "Bacterial small subunit ribosomal RNA", at positions 354 to 796 of the family's 1533-position model. The record is from RNAcentral.